This is a long non-coding RNA of Oncorhynchus tshawytscha (Chinook salmon), 2000 nucleotides long. The record is from Ensembl. NCBI's taxonomy places the organism in Eukaryota, Metazoa, Chordata, Actinopteri, Salmoniformes, Salmonidae.
CCUCACAUUACGUUUUUAUUUUCUCAAAUGUUAUGAUACUUACUUAACAAUUAUAAAAAUGACAGAUCUAAGUAACAUGUUUUUAAAUGCUUAUAGCCCUAAAGCAAAUCAAAUUAACAAAUUACCAGUUCAAAUAGAAGCCAUUGAAGUAGAUGCCAACAAACAUGAAGAAUCAACUAUACACUGUAUUUUACAAGUUAGAAAAGAGCAACAGCAUCUAAAAGGGACCAUAUACAGUAAAUCAUAGUUUUCAAUCUUAUUUUAAACUGAUUUAAGAGUAACUUUGAGAAAUGAAAACCCUAAUAUUUUCUCUUUAAAGUGUCUAUGUACAUUGUUUAUUCUUCUGAUAUGUAACUAAGAUGUGCUACCUACCUUGCACACCCCAUACAUACACGCACACACACACACACACACACACACACACACAUAUAUAUACACACAAAUACACAUAUACAUAUAUACACACACACACACACACACAUAUCUCUCUCAUAUAUAUCUCUCUCAUAUAUAUAUAUAUAUAUAUAUAUAUAUAUAUAUGCUGUAUAAACAUCUCCCUCCAAUUUUAUAAGGCCUUUUUCUUUGAGUUCAUGUUUUCCUUGUGGCACUCAACAGAUACAUUUAAAAAAUAUUUACGGAUAACAUUGGUAUUGUAUGUGAAAGAUAUGAUCCCUCAAAUGCUGUGUAACACUGGCAUCAUGUGGCCUUUCUAUUGGCCCCUCAUACAACCCCAGUGAGUUUCAUCCUAUAGCAGAGCAGAAUCAAAAAUGUAAUACAAAAAAUGACUUUGCUUUUCUUAAGAAAUGCAAAACAGGAAAAUAAAAAAGGGAGCGUCACAACAGGUAACAGAAUGAAGAUAACCUCAUAGAAAAAGUUAUGACAGAGACAUGUGUGUAUCUCACACCAACUUCCACUUACAGUUCUACUGUUUCCGCUACUCAUGCAAAAAUAAUGGACUAUUUUCAUAUUCUCUUUUUAAUUUUUUUUUAUCCCAAAAUGAACCAACAUCAAACACAGUGUGAAAUGCCAAGCCAUCAAACACUUUCAAUUAUUUUCCUGAAGGUGACAUCUUGCAUAAAACACAAGUCAGUUUUCGGUUUGGAAUACAACAGGAUACAUAAGACACUUGUGUUUAUUUUCUUAGAUACAGAGGUGUAUACGGUACCUUAUGGGGUCUUCAAAUUAUGAGCCUCAUUAUAACCGAUACACAUAAUCUCUCAGGUUUUCAUUUCUAAAGCUACCAUUCAGCCAUACAGUCAAAGAAAGAAAAACAGUUAUAAAAUGUAAAAAUAAAAACUAAUGGGCUUUAUAUGUCUCUGCAGGCACUUCAGCUGGAGAUGCAGUGGUUUAUCUAAUCGCAAAUCAGUCACAUCUGUUCUGUUACUACACAGGCUAAUGAAAAUAUCAGGACUAUACUACCUCUUCAGAGACUGGGAAUAAACACUGCUAAAAGGUCAAGAAGGGCAUGGAGAAAGAGUAGUAAGGCAGAGGAGUGUAAAGGAGGGGUUACAGUCACAUGAACACUAAAUGUUACUACAGUAAUUAACAACAUCUGUAUGUCAGAGGUUCUAGAGUGCUCAGUAGCCCACUGUUUCUCUGACAACCAUUGUAACAUUCCAAAGGGGCCUACUAGGGGCAUCUGGUGAAUGUUGUUUUGUCACACACCCGCCCACACACAGAGAAAGCCAGAAACGGCUAUCACAUUUUAACUACAUUAUUUAAAACUACAGUUUUAAAUAAUGGCGGGAAACAACUCAUCUCAACAAAAUAUGGCAAAUAAAGGUCUAAUUGAGGCUAGUAACCUUUCCUUGACUACAAUAUUACAUGCACUCUAUAAAGUGGGUGUUGCUUUUAAAGCUUUGAAUACUUGUUGUGAAUUAACAGUUGUGUGAAGACUUUAGAAACACUUUAGUAUUGUUGUGGUGGUACUGCUGAAUUUAGAACACUUUAGUAUUGUUGUGGUGGUACUGCUGAAUUUAGAACACUUUAGUAUUGUUGUG